AUGUGUGCAUUAUGUGGGUUUGAGGGCGCACCGCUGUGUGUCACGGCUGGCCCUGGUGAAGCCAAACCUACCUUGGAAACUGGGAAUGACCACAAGUCACAAUUUUUCUCACAUCCCCAAGGUCCUCCGUGCCGUGGCCAGCUUUGCUCAGCCCUGCCUGCCUCAGUUUCCCCACCAGACCAUGCAGCAGCCUCCCUGCUUGAGCGUGAUGAUGGGGAUCAGAGUGGGUUUGUGUCCAGCACGGGGGAGAAAACGGGCCAAAUCUGGGCUCUUACCAGGAGCAACAGGACCCCAGUAAUCAGUGGGGACGCAGCGUGUCCCCCGUCACCCCCAUCCACACUUGUGGCCAUCAGCUCCCCGUGCCCAAUGCACCACGGCACCACCUCCCGCAGCCCUUGCCCGUGGCUGUCACCACCUCCGUUCACACUGGAGGACGUGCAAAGCCUUCACGAUGACUUCAACAAGAAAGCGCCAACACCUUCAGCUCUCCGUCCGCCCCACUCAGCCUUGCUGGGUGGGAGAAGUGCCCCAGGAGCAGCAAGGUCUCACCCGAGACACACCACGGGCUCCAGAGCAGCCUCCCAGCCGGGCCAUUCGCCCCAGAUAACGCUGAGAUUUCGGGAGACAGAGCGGCGACGGUUCCCGUCCACCUCCAGGCACGCAGCCCUGAUGGCCGCCCCAGCCAGGUCCACGUCGCACGGCUGUACCUCGGGUCCUGGGGACACACCGGGGGCUGGCAAUCAGAUGUUUGCUGAGCUGCUCACACACCACUUUCCAAAGCCCCUCCUGUCGCAGCCUGCUGCCUUGCCACGAGAAGCCGCGAGAAGCUGGUUCGCAUUGCCCCAUCCUCCCCCUGCCCAGCUGGAACUGGCAUUUCGGGGUGAAUCUGGCAUUUACAAUACGAGGGCUGGAGAUCAGAAAAAAAAAAAAAAUGCCCAACCUGAAGAAAUUCCCAAGUGGAUGCUGGUGGAAGGAGCAAGACGGAGGUGCUGAACCCCGUAUUAGACACUGGAGAAGCCCCUCCGUGGCGCAGGCCUCUUUCCCUGGGGUUCGGGGCCGCUCUCACCCCAAAAACACGGGCUUGUUUUGCCAUCUGCUGGUGGGAGGCCGGCAGAGGAGGUGGAGCAGGGCAGAGGGCAGCCAGGAGAUGGAGGCUGGGGGGCUCAGCACCCCUGCUGCAGCUCCAACCCCCUGCAGCUCCUACCCGGUCCCCCCCUUCCCAACGUGGAGGUCCCGGCCAUCACACGCGGGUGGCCUGGCCUGGCCUGGUUUGGAUUUUAGUGGGGUCGGGGGGCUGUAAAACCAGCCAGCGGGGCUUGGAGAGGAGCUCUCCAAAAUCCCAAACGUGCCACAAAGAGCUGGGCGCGGAGCAGAGCUCACCGCAGGUCUGGGAAGGUGGCCUACGCGCGACUGGUUGGCGUGGUGCUGGGGAGCUCAUCUCGUAAUGUUUAAUAUUUUCUGGAUGAAGCCUUUCCCGAAGGCAUUGAGCCCGAUUCCUCCUCCUAGGUUUGCUGGGGGUGACCCAAUUCCUGUGUGGGGUUCGAGGGGUGCCCGAGCUGCUCGGUCCGUGCCCAUGGCCCACACCCGAUGGGCGAUGAGCAGCGACUCCGGUGCCUUCCCCAGUCAGCUUCUGGAGGAGGUUUGGAGCGGACAAAGGUGUCAGGAGAGGGAGCCAGAGCCUCGGCUGAGAGCAGGGAGAGCAGGGAUGGGGACACGGCCCCUUCGGAGCUGUGGUCCCAGGUGCGUUUGUGGGGCAAACCCAGCAAACCGAGCCCCUCCGGGCCCUAAUUUUUGGCGACGCGUCCCAGCACGGUCAGCACAAAGGACCUGUGCCCCACGGGACAGCAGUUUUAAACCGUAUGGGCGAUUCACAGGACCCCACCAGCCCUGCAGGAUAAAGGAUGGGGAGCCUGAAUUUGGUGUCUGUGUGCCAUAUGUUCUCCCACCUCUGUCCCACCCUGGGGACCGAGCAUCCUCGGGUGCUCCAGCAUCUGAGCAAGCCUGUCCCGUGUCUUGUCUCCAGCUCAGACUCCUGAAUUAUUGACGGCUCUGAUGCAUCAGGCUAUAAUAAGCUCCCCAGGCCUUUUCCCCGUGGGCUGGAGCUGGGAACACGUUUUCUUCGUUUUUAUGUGGUUUUGCUCUGUCUUGAGCUGAUGGCUGAGGGAGGAGAGGACGGAUGGAUGGGGACCUCGGGGAGGGUCGGGGUGGCUUUGAAUGCAUGGGGUGGUUUGGCAGAGUGGCUGCCCUCAUUGCAGUCUGGUAGGGAAAGGGGUCUGGGGUUGCCCAAGGGGUCUUCAACCCAGAUUUUGUGGGGUGGAGGCCGUGCAGGGAGCCAGGAGAAGGCAAAGGGUCUUUGUGUUGUCCCCUGGGGCCUCCUCAGCCACAGGUCUGCAGGUCAGAGGGAGAAAACCACCGAGAAAAACCACUAAAGAAAAGUCAGAGGGGGAAAACCACUGAGAAAACCACCAAAAGAAAGCCAGGCUUCAUCUCAGGUGGAAAAAGAGCCGUGUUUGUAUGUGUGGGGCUGUAGAAAACGGCGGGGCGGGUGCACGUCCGGAGUUACAGGCAGCAAGGGGCAUCACCUGCGGGCAAAGAGCAGGUCGGUGGCUCUGCUUAAAGAGCUUUUCAUAAGGAGCCUGAAAAUGAUUUCAGCGACUUCCAGGAGGCCUGCGUGCACCAAGUGCUCGUUUCUUGAAACCGUUGAGUCCCACUCAAAACAGGCAUAGUAAUACUCUGGUUUUGAGGUCAGAGGCAGCAGCCCCCGAGUUUAACUCCGUAUAUUGCUCCCAGAAGACCAGACGGUCAGAGCUGCGGCAAACAGUGGCACCUGCAAACCUCCGCGGCUCCCCCAGCCCCAAUUUCAGGGGCUUCAGAGCUGGGCUGGAGAAGUUUGGUUUAAAAGGAGGGGCAGAGCAGAAGGCAGGACAGCCCUGCCCAUCUCCGCUGCUUUGCUCUCCCUUUUGAGCCACGCAGGGAGCCCUUGGUGGAAAGGUCCUGGUGCCAUCAGCUGAGAUGGGAGCCUCUCAGGGAGGACAAGGGGGUCCCAUCCCCACCAUGGGAUGCGAAAUAGAAGCAGGGAUGCUGUUAAACAAGGCAUUUCGCACGUGCAGCCCAUGGCUGGGUUUAUGGGAAGGCUUUGCUGCAGUAGCACAACAGGUUCUGCUUGAGGGACUCCCUUCCAGCUUGAGGUCCCCCUUUUCCAGCUGGUGGGAAUCCCGCUGCGUGGUCCCAGGGGGAAUGCUCCCAGCUUGCCUUUCCCCCAGCGCUGCUGAGGACCCAUCCUGCCUGGUCCUGUGCGCUCCGAGAUCCCCAGCUUGGCACUGCAGAGGCUGUCCCAGCACCCAGCCUGCCCUGCUGUGGGUGCUUGCUUCCAGAUAAUUCACUAAACAUGUAUUUAAGCACAUUCCUGGGAAAAUCACCCCCUUUUUUUUUUUUUUGAGAAACCUGUUGUAAUCAAAGCACCGACAGCUUCAGCACCAGUGUAAAGCUGCAGGCAGGCUCAAGGCUGCGUUCGUGCUCCGCACCCAGCCACCUCUUCAGCUGUGGGUGUGGAUUGGGCAGGAUGAGCCCCACCGACCCCCAAAAUCCCCUGUACAUGUGCUCACAGAGCUGGGGGUGCCAGCAGGGCAGAGACAACCCAGAAGUGCCACACGGUGCCCCACACCAUCAAGGUGGGACGCUUGAUGGCCCAUCGGCACUGAUUUAGGUGUGCUGCCUCCUCCCACGGGGCAGGGAAAGGGGCUGGACAACCUCUCAGGGUCCUUCCCAGCUCCAUUUAUCUGCGUUCCUACGGGCUAACCCACGGACCGACCUUCCCUUUCUCCCAGUAAUGCAAAAAUGCAGAGAUGAGCGGAUAAGCAGGGAGAGGAGGGAUUAAGUUCAGGGCACGGGUCAUGGGAGCCGGUUAUAAAUAAACAGAACUCGUUUAAAAGAUGAUAUAUGCUG
This is a long non-coding RNA of Anser cygnoides (Swan goose), 3945 nucleotides long. The record is from Ensembl. NCBI's taxonomy places the organism in Eukaryota, Metazoa, Chordata, Aves, Anseriformes, Anatidae.